AAGGUUUUAAGUUAUUUAAACUAAUAAUCUUCAAAAUUAUAAAAAAAGACAUUCUUUAAGCCUUA
RNAcentral lists this transfer RNA (65 nucleotides) under Pharmacophagus antenor. Its description in RNAcentral is "tRNA-Trp". The record is from RNAcentral. Lineage: Eukaryota; Metazoa; Arthropoda; Insecta; Lepidoptera; Papilionidae.